This 274-nucleotide ribosomal RNA is filed under the name uncultured bacterium. RNAcentral describes it as "partial 16S ribosomal RNA". It matches the Rfam family "Bacterial small subunit ribosomal RNA", at positions 523 to 796 of the family's 1533-position model. The record is from RNAcentral.
AUACGUAGGGUGCGAGCGUUGUUCGGAUUUAUUGGGCGUAAAGGGUCCGCAGGUUGUUGAUUAAGUCUGAUGUGAAAUCCUAUGGCUCAACCAUAGAACUGCAUUGGAAACUGAUCGACUAGAGUAUCGGAGAGGUGAGUGGAAUUCCUGGUGUAGCGGUGGAAUGCGUAGAUAUCAGGAAGAACACCAAUAGCGAAGGCAGCUCACUGGACGAUCACUGACACUCAGGGACGAAAGCGUGGGGAGCAAACAGGAUUAGAAACCCCAGUAGUCC